RNAcentral lists this ribosomal RNA (412 nucleotides) under Ochyrocera aff. ransfordi OC235A. RNAcentral describes it as "partial large subunit ribosomal RNA". The record is from RNAcentral. Lineage: Eukaryota; Metazoa; Arthropoda; Arachnida; Araneae; Ochyroceratidae.
CCUGCUCAAUGAACUUUUAAAUAGCCGCAAUCUUAUGUGCUAAGGUAGCAUAAUAAUUUGUUCUUUAAUUAAGAAAUAGAAUGAAAGGAUAAACGUUUAUUUUCUUUCUUAUUUACAAAAAUUUAACUUGUACUAAAAAUAAAAAUAUUUUUAUUAUUUAGGAAGACGACAAGACCCUAAGAACUUUACUUUAAUAGUUUUACUGGGGAAGUUCUAUAAAAAAACUUUAUAAUUAACUCUAUUAAUAAAAGCUUUUAAUUAAGAAUUUAAUACGUUACCUUAGGGAUAACAGCAUAAUAUUUAUUUUAAGCUCUUAUAAAAAUAUAAUUUUAUGACCUCGAUGUUGAAUUAAUAAAACUAUUAUAAGCACAAGUAUAAUAAGUAAGUCUGUUCGACUUUUAAUUUAUUACAU